AGGUUUCCGUAGGUGAACCUGCGAAAGGAUCAUUGCCGAGACCCA
Molecule: ribosomal RNA, 45 nt
Filed under: Sabal gretherae
Lineage: Eukaryota; Viridiplantae; Streptophyta; Magnoliopsida; Arecales; Arecaceae
Description: partial 18S ribosomal RNA
Source: RNAcentral